RNAcentral lists this ribosomal RNA (375 nucleotides) under uncultured bacterium. Its description in RNAcentral is "bacterial SSU rRNA". It matches the Rfam family "Bacterial small subunit ribosomal RNA", at positions 524 to 898 of the family's 1533-position model. The record is from RNAcentral.
UACGAAGGGGGCUAGCGUUGUUCGGAAUUACUGGGCGUAAAGGGCGCGUAGGCGGUACUUCAAGUCAGGCGUGAAAGCCCCGGGCUCAACCUGGGAACCGCGCUUGAGACUGGAGAACUAGAGUUCGGGAGAGGAUGGUGGAAUUCCCAGUGUAGAGGUGAAAUUCGUAGAUAUUGGGAAGAACACCGAUGGCGAAGGCAGCCAUCUGGACCGACACUGACGCUGAGGCGCGAAAGCGUGGGGAGCAAACAGGAUUAGAUACCCUGGUAGUCCACGCCGUAAACGAUGAGUGCUAGACGUUGGGGCUCUCAGAGCUUCGGUGUCGCAGCUAACGCAUUAAGCACUCCGCCUGGGGAGUACGGCCGCAAGGUUAAA